This 525-nucleotide ribosomal RNA is filed under the name proteobacterium 5AC07. RNAcentral describes it as "bacterial SSU rRNA". It matches the Rfam family "Bacterial small subunit ribosomal RNA", at positions 62 to 634 of the family's 1533-position model. The record is from RNAcentral. Lineage: Bacteria; Pseudomonadati; Pseudomonadota.
UCGAGCGGCCCUUCGGGUGUAGCGGCGGACGGGUUAGUAACGCGUGGGAACGUACCCUUUUCUACGGAAUAGCCUCGGGAAACUGAGAGUAAUACCGUAUACGCCCUUUGGGGGAAAGAUUUAUCGGGGAAGGAUCGGCCCGCGUCUGAUUAGAUAGUUGGUGGGGUAAUGGCCUACCAAGUCUACGAUCAGUAGCUGGUUUUAGAGGAUGAUCAGCAACACUGGGACUGAGACACGGCCCAGACUCCUACGGGAGGCAGCAGUGGGGAAUCUUAGACAAUGGGCGCAAGCCUGAUCUAGCCAUGCCGCGUGAGUGAUGAAGGCCUUAGGGUCGUAAAGCUCUUUCGCCAGAGAUGAUAAUGACAGUAUCUGGUAAAGAAACCCCGGCUAACUCCGUGCCAGCAGCCGCGGUAAUACGGAGGGGGUUAGCGUUGUUCGGAAUUACUGGGCGUAAAGCGCACGUAGGCGGAUCAAAAAGUUGGGGGUGAAAUCCCAGGGCUCAACCCUGGAACGGCCUCCAAAACU